UUAACUAAAGCCAAAUGAGAGGCAUAUCAUUGUUAAUGAUAAAAUUGGGAUUUCCCUAGUUAAA
Molecule: transfer RNA, 64 nt
Filed under: Siphluriscus chinensis
Lineage: Eukaryota; Metazoa; Arthropoda; Insecta; Ephemeroptera; Siphlonuridae
Also listed under: 1 other name
Description: tRNA-Asn
Source: RNAcentral